AAAGGAAUUGACGGGGACCCGCACAAGCGGUGGAGCAUGUGGUUUAAUUCGACGCAACGCGAAGAACCUUACCAAGGCUUGACAUCCCUUGACGGUCUAAGAGAUUAGAUUUUCUUUUCGGAGACAAGGAGACAGGUGGUGCACGGUUGUCGUCAGCUCGUGUCGUGAGAUGUUGGGUUAAGUCCCGCAACGAGCGCAACCCCUACAGUUAGUUGCCAUCAUUAAGUUGGGCACUCUAGCAGGACUGCCGGUGACAAACCGGAGGAAGGUGGGGAUGACGUCAAAUCAUCAUGCCCCUUAUGUCUUGGGCUACACACGUGCUACAAUGGGCAGUACAGAGGGCAGCGAAGCCGCGAGGUGAAGCGAAUCUCAAAAAGCUGUUCCCAGUUCGGAUUGCAGGCUGCAACUCGCCUGCAUGAAGCAGGAAUCGCUAGUAAUCGCAGGUCAGCAUACUGCGGUGAAUACGUUCCCGGGUCUUGUACACACCGCCCGU
Molecule: ribosomal RNA, 493 nt
Filed under: uncultured bacterium
Lineage: Bacteria
Description: bacterial SSU rRNA
Rfam family: Bacterial small subunit ribosomal RNA
Source: RNAcentral